UGUUGCCAUUUUAGCCUAUUUAAGGCUAGAUCUAGCUUAUUUGAAAACGGAAAAGCUUGAAAAAUUAUGAAAAUGAUUAUAGCCUUAAAUCUAGCCUUUUUUAAUUUCACUCUGUUUAUGUUUGCCUUUUUAUAUCCUACAUAUAUUUUUAGGCAAAUCGAACAAAAAGUAUAUUUGUUGUACAUAUUUUGGUGUAUCAUGGUAUUUUAGAAUUCAUUUAUGGUAUAUUUUCGUUGAAAAGUUUCGGUCACUACUACACAGAAACUUGGCGAUCGUGUGAAAUGUGUAAUUGUGUAAAAUUGAGGUGCAAGGAUUUUAUAAAGGAGCUUAUUAUCCAACUCAGAGAAAGACUUCCAGAUAAUUUUGAGACAUUGGAAAAACUGCAUUUUUUUGCAGCAGAAAAUGUACUCGAACAUAAUAAAAAUCCUAAUGAUCUCAUUUCCAUAUUGGAACACUUCAACUAUAGCAAUAUAGAUGGAAUUCUUGCCCAAUAUGGCAAAAUUCACUUAUUCCCUUGGCAAAGUACAGAUGACACUAUAAAGCUUUGGUCAGAAGUACUGAAUUAUAAAGAUGCUGGCAAAAACAAACCUCUUGAAGAAAUCGCUUUAUUUGCCAUUGAAAUUUUAAGUCUACCGUGGUCAAAUGCUGCCAUUGAACGUGUAAUCAGUCAAAUAAAUAUCGUUAAGACCAAGCUUAGGAACAAAAUGACUGUUAAAUCCUUAAACUCAAUACUAAAUAUAAGAUAUGGAUUGCGCCGUCAUGGCAAAUGUUGCCACAACUAACAAUUACCGGAGAAAUAUUUAAAUUUAAUACGUUCCAGCGAUAAAUAUACCGAUUCGAGUAAUAGCGAGUUGGAUAAAAUAA
Drosophila miranda is the source of this 864-nucleotide long non-coding RNA. RefSeq lists it as uncharacterized. NCBI's taxonomy places the organism in Eukaryota, Metazoa, Arthropoda, Insecta, Diptera, Drosophilidae. The record is from RefSeq and is a predicted model, not a curated record. The transcript is spliced from 3 exons.